This 2902-nucleotide ribosomal RNA is filed under the name Escherichia coli. RNAcentral's name for it is "bacterial LSU rRNA". It matches the Rfam family "Bacterial large subunit ribosomal RNA". RNAcentral also lists the same sequence under 6 other names. The record is from RNAcentral. Lineage: Bacteria; Pseudomonadati; Pseudomonadota; Gammaproteobacteria; Enterobacterales; Enterobacteriaceae.
UUAAGCGACUAAGCGUACACGGUGGAUGCCCUGGCAGUCAGAGGCGAUGAAGGACGUGCUAAUCUGCGAUAAGCGUCGGUGAGGUGAUAUGAACCGUUAUAACCGGCGAUUUCCGAAUGGGGAAACCCAGUGUGUUUCGACACACUAUCAUUAACUGAAUCCAUAGGUUAAUGAGGCGAACCGGGGGAACUGAAACAUCUAAGUACCCCGAGGAAAAGAAAUCAACCGAGAUUCCCCCAGUAGCGGCGAGCGAACGGGGAGGAGCCCAGAGCCUGAAUCAGUGUGUGUGUUAGUGGAAGCGUCUGGAAAGGCGCGCGAUACAGGGUGACAGCCCCGUACACAAAAAUGCACAUAUUGUGAGCUCGAUGAGUAGGGCGGGACACGUGGUAUCCUGUCUGAAUAUGGGGGGACCAUCCUCCAAGGCUAAAUACUCCUGACUGACCGAUAGUGAACCAGUACCGUGAGGGAAAGGCGAAAAGAACCCCGGCGAGGGGAGUGAAAAAGAACCUGAAACCGUGUACGUACAAGCAGUGGGAGCCUCUUAAUGGGGUGACUGCGUACCUUUUGUAUAAUGGGUCAGCGACUUAUAUUCUGUAGCAAGGUUAACCGAAUAGGGGAGCCGAAGGGAAACCGAGUCUUAACUGGGCGUUAAGUUGCAGGGUAUAGACCCGAAACCCGGUGAUCUAGCCAUGGGCAGGUUGAAGGUUGGGUAACACUAACUGGAGGACCGAACCGACUAAUGUUGAAAAAUUAGCGGAUGACUUGUGGCUGGGGGUGAAAGGCCAAUCAAACCGGGAGAUAGCUGGUUCUCCCCGAAAGCUAUUUAGGUAGCGCCUCGUGAAUUCAUCUCCGGGGGUAGAGCACUGUUUCGGCAAGGGGGUCAUCCCGACUUACCAACCCGAUGCAAACUGCGAAUACCGGAGAAUGUUAUCACGGGAGACACACGGCGGGUGCUAACGUCCGUCGUGAAGAGGGAAACAACCCAGACCGCCAGCUAAGGUCCCAAAGUCAUGGUUAAGUGGGAAACGAUGUGGGAAGGCCCAGACAGCCAGGAUGUUGGCUUAGAAGCAGCCAUCAUUUAAAGAAAGCGUAAUAGCUCACUGGUCGAGUCGGCCUGCGCGGAAGAUGUAACGGGGCUAAACCAUGCACCGAAGCUGCGGCAGCGACACUAUGUGUUGUUGGGUAGGGGAGCGUUCUGUAAGCCUGUGAAGGUGGCCUGUGAGGGUUGCUGGAGGUAUCAGAAGUGCGAAUGCUGACAUAAGUAACGAUAAAGCGGGUGAAAAGCCCGCUCGCCGGAAGACCAAGGGUUCCUGUCCAACGUUAAUCGGGGCAGGGUGAGUCGACCCCUAAGGCGAGGCCGAAAGGCGUAGUCGAUGGGAAACAGGUUAAUAUUCCUGUACUUGGUGUUACUGCGAAGGGGGGACGGAGAAGGCUAUGUUGGCCGGGCGACGGUUGUCCCGGUUUAAGCGUGUAGGCUGGUUUUCCAGGCAAAUCCGGAAAACCAAGGCUGAGGCGUGAUGACGAGGCACUACGGUGCUGAAGCGACAAAUGCCCUGCUUCCAGGAAAAGCCUCUAAGCAUCAGGUAACAUCAAAUCGUACCCCAAACCGACACAGGUGGUCAGGUAGAGAAUACCAAGGCGCUUGAGAGAACUCGGGUGAAGGAACUAGGCAAAAUGGUGCCGUAACUUCGGGAGAAGGCACGCUGAUAUGUAGGUGAAGCGACUUGCUCGUGGAGCUGAAAUCAGUCGAAGAUACCAGCUGGCUGCAACUGUUUAUUAAAAACACAGCACUGUGCAAACACGAAAGUGGACGUAUACGGUGUGACGCCUGCCCGGUGCCGGAAGGUUAAUUGAUGGGGUUAGCGGUAACGCGAAGCUCUUGAUCGAAGCCCCGGUAAACGGCGGCCGUAACUAUAACGGUCCUAAGGUAGCGAAAUUCCUUGUCGGGUAAGUUCCGACCUGCACGAAUGGCGUAAUGAUGGCCAGGCUGUCUCCACCCGAGACUCAGUGAAAUUGAACUCGCUGUGAAGAUGCAGUGUACCCGCGGCAAGACGGAAAGACCCCGUGAACCUUUACUAUAGCUUGACACUGAACAUUGAGCCUUGAUGUGUAGGAUAGGUGGGAGGCUUUGAAGUGUGGACGCCAGUCUGCAUGGAGCCGACCUUGAAAUACCACCCUUUAAUGUUUGAUGUUCUAACGUGGGCCCCUAAUCGGGGUUGCGGACAGUGUCUGGUGGGUAGUUUGACUGGGGCGGUCUCCUCCUAAAGAGUAACGGAGGAGCACGAAGGUUGGCUAAUCCUGGUCGGACAUCAGGAGGUUAGUGCAAUGGCAUAAGCCAGCUUGACUGCGAGCGUGACGGCGCGAGCAGGUGCGAAAGCAGGUCAUAGUGAUCCGGUGGUUCUGAAUGGAAGGGCCAUCGCUCAACGGAUAAAAGGUACUCCGGGGAUAACAGGCUGAUACCGCCCAAGAGUUCAUAUCGACGGCGGUGUUUGGCACCUCGAUGUCGGCUCAUCACAUCCUGGGGCUGAAGUAGGUCCCAAGGGUAUGGCUGUUCGCCAUUUAAAGUGGUACGCGAGCUGGGUUUAGAACGUCGUGAGACAGUUCGGUCCCUAUCUGCCGUGGGCGCUGGAGAACUGAGGGGGGCUGCUCCUAGUACGAGAGGACCGGAGUGGACGCAUCACUGGUGUUCGGGUUGUCAUGCCAAUGGCACUGCCCGGUAGCUAAAUGCGGAAGAGAUAAGUGCUGAAAGCAUCUAAGCACGAAACUUGCCCCGAGAUGAGUUCUCCCUGAGACUUAGAGUCUCCUGAAGGAACGUUGAAGACGACGACGUUGAUAGGCCGGGUGUGUAAGCGCAGCGAUGCGUUGAGCUAACCGGUACUAAUGAACCGUGAGGCUUAACCUU